AAAUUGAAGAGUUUGAUCAUGGCUCAGAUUGAACGCUGGCGGCAGGCCUAACACAUGCAAGUCGAACGGUAGCACAGAGAGCUUGCUCUCGGGUGACGAGUGGCGGACGGGUGAGUAAUGUCUGGGAAACUGCCUGAUGGAGGGGGAUAACUACUGGAAACGGUGGCUAAUACCGCAUAACGUCGCAAGACCAAAGAGGGGGACCUUCGGGCCUCUUGCCAUCAGAUGUGCCCAGAUGGGAUUAGCUUGUUGGUGAGGUAACGGCUCACCAAGGCGACGAUCCCUAGCUGGUCUGAGAGGAUGACCAGCCACACUGGAACUGAGACACGGUCCAGACUCCUACGGGAGGCAGCAGUGGGGAAUAUUGCACAAUGGGCGCAAGCCUGAUGCAGCCAUGCCGCGUGUAUGAAGAAGGCCUUCGGGUUGUAAAGUACUUUCAGCGGGGAGGAAGGUGUUGUGGUUAAUAACCGCAGCAAUUGACGUUACCCGCAGAAGAAGCACCGGCUAACUCCGUGCCAGCAGCCGCGGUAAUACGGAGGGUGCAAGCGUUAAUCGGAAUUACUGGGCGUAAAGCGCACGCAGGCGGUCUGUCAAGUCGGAUGUGAAAUCCCCGGGCUCAAC
This 621-nucleotide ribosomal RNA is filed under the name Salmonella enterica subsp. enterica serovar Muenchen. Its description in RNAcentral is "bacterial SSU rRNA". It matches the Rfam family "Bacterial small subunit ribosomal RNA", at positions 1 to 613 of the family's 1533-position model. The record is from RNAcentral. Lineage: Bacteria; Pseudomonadati; Pseudomonadota; Gammaproteobacteria; Enterobacterales; Enterobacteriaceae. RNAcentral also lists the same sequence under 1 other name.